CGAUCGAAGGUGGAGGAAGGACUUCUUCGCCCCUCCGCUGAUCGCUUAAUCCGUCUCUAGAAGCCUCUUUAUGGUGGUGGAGGUGGAACGGGGGUGGCGGUUGUCUUCUACUCGGAGGACCCUCCCUGGCGUCGCCAACUAUAAGGAGCCAUGCACAAAAGUACUUUCUGAAGGUUCAGAAGAAUGGUAGAAAUGAACAUGUACCACCACCUCGACCCAAGCAGAAAGCAGCUUAUCCAUAUCCUCAGAAAGCUGCUAAAAAUGAUAUGUCAAAACAAAAAUGUACUUGUGAGUUCUGCCCAUUUUGAACCAACAUCAUCGAUGCAUAGAGAUCCUGCAACAAUGGCUGUUUUUUUAUUGGGUUCAGAGUUCUAUCGAGCCUGUUACUUCAUCUCAUUCGACAAAAGGUCUGAUA
Musa acuminata AAA Group (dessert banana) is the source of this 415-nucleotide long non-coding RNA. RefSeq lists it as uncharacterized. Lineage: Eukaryota; Viridiplantae; Streptophyta; Magnoliopsida; Zingiberales; Musaceae. The record is from RefSeq and is a predicted model, not a curated record. The transcript has 3 exons.